UAAAAAUCACACUCUGGAGCUAGGUGAGACAGUGGGCAUUGAUACUUCCAACUACUGGGGGGGCUGAGGCAGGAGAACUACUAAGGCCCAGGAGUUCAGAGCCAGACUGGACAACACAGCAAGACUCAUCUCAGAAAGAAAAGAAAACCCAGCUCAUACACAAUCAGAUGCAAUUCCUCCUACCGACCCCACUGAAGGCUGUAGUUGCUACAGUACUGUGGAUCCAACUCAAGACCUUGCACUUGCGAGGCAGGCGCAGCGCCCGCCACUGAGCUAAAUCUCCGGCCCCGAAGGACGUUUAUUGAACACUGCUCUGUGUCAGCCACCUCCUUCCAGCCUCUCUGACCUGAAGACCAGGUCUGCAAAGAAGGCCAGAGAAGCCCAGAGCCACUGCAGAGCACCAGGGGAAAAACAAUGGGGAAACACAGAAGAUGCUGCUGAGAAAACUGAAGCAACGAGAAGAGACUGCCACAGUUCCUACACCACUGCCGCCCACAGGCAUCUGUGAACCAAGUCUGAUCAGUGUCCAUGCCACGAGCUCUGGUUGGGCCUCCACCCUCUUCUGCUCAAGAUUGGUUUAGCAGCCCCCAAGUCCUACAUUGUCUCUUUCAUUUCUGCCCAUGUAUCGAUCACCCCAUCAAUUUACAGACAUGCUGUGAUUUUUCUGAACUUACGAUGUUUUCUUGACUCUCUUGCCAGCAGUCCCAGGCUGCUUUUUCCUCUGCUGUGCAGUGAAACUCCUUUUGUGUGUUGUCUGCCCUGCUGACCACUGACUGAUGGCUCCAUGUGGCUCAACCUCAUGGUCAGGUCCCACCUGAAGCAGUGUAACUCUCCUCUCACACACGC
Heterocephalus glaber (naked mole-rat) is the source of this 846-nucleotide long non-coding RNA. The record is from Ensembl. NCBI's taxonomy places the organism in Eukaryota, Metazoa, Chordata, Mammalia, Rodentia, Bathyergidae.